Molecule: ribosomal RNA, 468 nt
Filed under: uncultured bacterium
Lineage: Bacteria
Description: partial 16S ribosomal RNA
Rfam family: Bacterial small subunit ribosomal RNA
Source: RNAcentral
GACGAACGCUGGCGGCGUGCUUAACACAUGCAAGUCGAACGGAAAGGCGCUGCUUUUGUGGGGUGCUCGAGUGGCGAACGGGUGAGUAACACGUGAGUAACCUGCCCUUGACUUUGGGAUAACAUCAGGAAAAUGGGGCUAAUACCGGAUAGGAGAUCCUGCUGCAUGGUGGGGGUUGGAGAGUUUCGGCGGUUGGGUAUGGACUCGCGGGGUAUCAGCUGGUUGGUGGGGUAGGGGCUUACCAAGGCUUUGACGGGUAGGCGGCCUGAGAGGGUGACCGGCCACAUUGGGACUGCGGUACGGCCCAGACUCCUACGGGGGGCAGCAGUGGGGAAUCUUGCACAAUGGGCGGAAGCCUGAUGCAGCAACGCCGCGUGCGGGAUGACGGCCUUCGGGUUGUAAACCGCUUUCGCCUGUGACGAAGCGUGAGUGACGGUAAUGGGUAAAGAAGCACCGGCUAACUACGUG